RNAcentral lists this ribosomal RNA (481 nucleotides) under uncultured Alcaligenes sp. RNAcentral describes it as "bacterial SSU rRNA". It matches the Rfam family "Bacterial small subunit ribosomal RNA", at positions 68 to 542 of the family's 1533-position model. Lineage: Bacteria; Pseudomonadati; Pseudomonadota; Betaproteobacteria; Burkholderiales; Alcaligenaceae. The record is from RNAcentral.
GCGCGAGAGAGCUUGCUCUCUUGGCGGCGAGUGGCGGACGGGUGAGUAAUAUAUCGGAACGUGCCCAGUAGCGGGGGAUAACUACUCGAAAGAGUGGCUAAUACCGCAUACGCCCUACGGGGGAAAGGGGGGGAUCGCAAGACCUCUCACUAUUGGAGCGGCCGAUAUCGGAUUAGCUAGUUGGUGGGGUAAAGGCUCACCAAGGCAACGAUCCGUAGCUGGUUUGAGAGGACGACCAGCCACACUGGGACUGAGACACGGCCCAGACUCCUACGGGAGGCAGCAGUGGGGAAUUUUGGACAAUGGGGGAAACCCUGAUCCAGCCAUCCCGCGUGUAUGAUGAAGGCCUUCGGGUUGUAAAGUACUUUUGGCAGAGAAGAAAAGGUAUCCCCUAAUACGGGAUACUGCUGACGGUAUCUGCAGAAUAAGCACCGGCUAACUACGUGCCAGCAGCCGCGGUAAUACGUAGGGUGCAAGCGUU